CAUCAUAUGUGACAAUAUUUUUAAAACCUCCAAACGAUAAUCUGACUACUUUCAAUAUGAAUCAGCAUUUAAAAAAUCUUCUUUGCUACACUUCUCAAUGAAUAACAACAGACAAUCACAUUGAAAGUGUGUGUGUCUGGUCAUGUUUUCAUUUGCAAUGUCUUUCUUUUAUAUUUAUUGUUAGUAGUUAUAAAUUAGAAGUGCUUUAGAGGACUGAAUAUAUCCAGCUUUAUUUACAUCACUCAGAACUAUUUUUCCAGGUAGCUCUUUUGGAAAAAUAAAGAUAGACAUUAAAAACUUUUAAAAUGUAGAUACAUAGGAUAUGUUAGCUUUUAAUGCCAAUUCUUGCUUUUCAAAAUAGCAUUACUGUCAGCUCAUUUUAAAAGUUUCACAUAUAUAUUGGGGCUGGCCCCGUGGCCGAGUGGUUAAGUUCGUGCACUCCACUUCAGCAGCCCAGGUUUGCAGGUUUGGAUCCUGGGCAUGGACCUACGUCACUCAUUAGCCAUGCUGUGAUGUCAACCCACAUACAAAAUAGAGGAAGAUUGGCACAGAUGUUAGCUCAGGGCAAAUCUUCCUCAGCAAAAAAGAAAAAGGACUAAAGAAAAAACAAAUGGUAUUGUAAUGGGGCUGGAUGAUAAAAUGCAGGACACCACUUAAAUUAAAUUUCAGAUAAACAACCAAUAACUUUUUAAUAUAAACAUUUAUAUGUAUUUGUAUUUCUCAUACAAAGAAAGCCAAUCAGUGGAUACAGUUUUCUAGAGUAAUGCUAAAUGUGGUAAUCAGCAUUCUCGGUACAAGAAACUUUUUCCAUAACACUCUUGGCAGUUGCAUUGAGGCAUUUUGUGAAGUUUCAAAGUAUUUGGAUAGUCUUUAUUUCUUCUUUAAUUAGAAAUUUUAUUUUUCAGACUUAAAUUUUUGUGUAAGAAUUGAUGGGGAGAAGAAAAUGCCACUCCAAAUUUUGCAACUUUUACAUGUGGAUUGUUUUUAGGUGAAGGCACUUAAGACCCAGGAGAUUCAGCAAAAGCUCUUUAUUUCUCCCUUAACUGCCUAAAAGAGUUUAGAUAGAGGGCCUAUACUAGGAAGAG
This 1085-nucleotide long non-coding RNA is filed under the name Equus caballus (horse). RNAcentral's name for it is "lncRNA (ENSECAG00000052700.1)". The record is from RNAcentral. Lineage: Eukaryota; Metazoa; Chordata; Mammalia; Perissodactyla; Equidae.